Scophthalmus maximus (turbot) is the source of this 898-nucleotide long non-coding RNA. RefSeq lists it as uncharacterized. The record is from RefSeq and is a predicted model, not a curated record. NCBI's taxonomy places the organism in Eukaryota, Metazoa, Chordata, Actinopteri, Pleuronectiformes, Scophthalmidae. The transcript is spliced from 3 exons.
UUUUUAUUUCACAGUCAGGUGAUUCAGUGUGAUGCGCACUGAACCAGUGUGGGAUAAUGUUCAGGGACCGUGCAGGAGCUGAACAGUGUUGUGGAACAACAACAGUAUUCAAGGUACAAACACAGAGGAAACAAGUGCAAUGGAGAACAUCAAAGCUAAGUGUUGCCAUUCCCUCAGUACCUGCUCCAGUUUCCACAAGAACUUGACAGGCCGCGCAGCAGCGACGUCGGGCCAGUAGAAGAGAGAGAGGCGACAGCCGUGGACGGACAGGGAGUAGUGGGAGUAGGAGUCGUCUGUAGAGCAGGAGACGGGGAGAGAAACAGAAGAUAAUUGGAGGGAAUUUUCUUGGAAAUCUGACUGGAACUAAUUACGCUGUCUUGUCGGUGGGAGGAGAGUCAGCGGAGGAAAAAUGCUGCUGGUUCUGGACCAGAUCAAACCGCUCUCUGUUCAAAGGCAGAGUUGAGUCCCAGGAAUCUUUUCAGUUGUAAACCCCAAUACUUUUGAUCUGUAUUUUACUGAGGAAUAUUUGAAUGCUUUUUCUAAAUUUAUCUCAGUGCUUAAAAAAAUGUAUUUCCAUUUUGUAGUACUUUAACUCGUUGAAGCAGAGUAAAAAUAUACAAAAUUCUAUAUUUAUGUACUUUUUAAUCAACUAAAUUGAGUAACUACAACAUUAAAAUUCUGCUUUAGAACAACUUAAACUUUUUGAGACUCAAAAGAAAUGUUGCUGAUGUUUCUACUUGCCAAAUUUUUUUUUUUUAAAUACAACUUUUUGCCUGUACCUCUGGAGCACUUAGGUCAUCAUUUGAUCAAUCAAUGGAAUAAAAAUAAAACAAUUACUCAUUUUGAUGAUUGAUUUGUGAAUCAUGACUUGUGGAGACUUGCUGUUUUCCUUUAGUCU